RNAcentral lists this ribosomal RNA (252 nucleotides) under uncultured bacterium. RNAcentral's name for it is "partial 16S ribosomal RNA". It matches the Rfam family "Bacterial small subunit ribosomal RNA", at positions 524 to 776 of the family's 1533-position model. The record is from RNAcentral.
UACGUAGGGGGCAAGCGUUGUCCGGAAUUAUUGGGCGUAAAGCGCGCGCAGGCGGUUUGUUAAGUCGGGUGUAUAAGCCUGAGGCUCAACCUCGGGAGGCACCCGAAACUGGGAGACUGGAGUGCAGAAGAGGAGAGUGGAAUUCCACGUGUAGCGGUGAAAUGCGUAGAGAUGUGGAGGAACACCAGUGGCGAAGGCGACUCUCUGGUCUGUCACUGACGCUGAGGCGCGAAAGCGUGGGGAGCAAACAGG